AUUCCAGCUCCAAUAGCGUAUAUUAAAGUUGUUGCAGUUAAAAAGCUCGUAGUCGGAUUUUGGCAUCACGCCGAACUGUCUGCCGAUUGGUAAGUACGGUUUGGCGGGUGCUUCCUUCCGGAGGCUCGUUCCCUUCUUCAUUGAAGGGUUCGUUGGUUCCGGGUCUUUUACUUUGAGAAAAUUAGAGUGUUCAAAGCAGGCCUAUGCUCUGAAUAGGUUAGCAUGGAAUAAUAGAAUAGGACUUUGGUUCUAUUUUGUUGGUUUCUAGGACCGAAGUAAUGAUUAAUAGGGACAGUUGGGGGCAUUCAUAUUCCAUUGUCAGAGGUGAAAUUCUUGGAUUUGUUAAAGACGAACUCAUGCGAAAGCAUUUACCAAGGAUGUUUUCAUUA
Molecule: ribosomal RNA, 389 nt
Filed under: Picozoa sp.
Lineage: Eukaryota; Picozoa
Description: partial small subunit ribosomal RNA
Rfam family: Eukaryotic small subunit ribosomal RNA
Source: RNAcentral